GCGCGCGUAGUUCAACUGGAUAGAAUAUCGGAUUUCGGCUCCGAGGGUUGAGGGUUCGAAUCCUUCCGCGCGUACCA
This 77-nucleotide transfer RNA is filed under the name Echinicola vietnamensis DSM 17526. Its description in RNAcentral is "tRNA-Arg (TCG) (tRNA-Arg-TCG-1-1)". It matches the Rfam family "tRNA". Rfam says of the family: Transfer RNA (tRNA) molecules are approximately 80 nucleotides in length. The record is from RNAcentral. Lineage: Bacteria; Pseudomonadati; Bacteroidota; Cytophagia; Cytophagales; Cyclobacteriaceae. RNAcentral also lists the same sequence under 1 other name.